This 3162-nucleotide long non-coding RNA is filed under the name Pongo abelii (Sumatran orangutan). RNAcentral describes it as "lincRNA". Lineage: Eukaryota; Metazoa; Chordata; Mammalia; Primates; Hominidae. The record is from RNAcentral.
CAAGUAUGCAAUCUCUGUAAAACCCGCUAGAACCAGUCAUGGUCGGUGGGCUUCUUACCAGGAGAAAAUUACCGAAAUCACUCUUGUCCAAUCAAAGCUGUAGUUAUGGCUGGUGGAGUUCAGUUAGUCAGCAUCUGGUGGAGCUGCAGGUGUUUUAGUAUUGUUUAUUUAGAGGCCAUUGCUUAUUUAGCUGCUAGAGAAAAGGAAAAACCUUGUGGCAGUUAGAACAUAGUUUAUUCUUUAAGUGUAGGGCUGCAUGAUUUAACCCUUGCCUGGCAUGGCCUUAGGUCCUGUUUGUAAUUUGGUAUCUUGUUGCCACAAAGAGUGUGUUUGGUCAGUCUUAUGACCUCUGUUUUGACAUUAAUGCUGGUCAGUUGUGUCUAAACCAUAAAAGGGAGGGGAGUAUAACGAGGUGUGUCUGACCUCUUUUCCUGUCAUGGCUGGGAACUCAGUUUCUAAGGUUUUUCUGGGGUCCUCUUGGCCAAGAGCGUUUCUAUUCAGUUGGUGGAGGGGGCUUAGGAUUUUAUUUUUAGUUUGCAGCCAGGGUCAGUACAUUUCAGUCACCAACCCCCCAGCCUUCCUGAUCCUCCUGUCUUUCCUCACAUCCUGUCAUUGUCAGAGAUUUUACAGAUAUAGAGCUGAAUCAUUUCCUGCCAUCUCUUUUAACACACAAGCCUCCCAGAUCUUUCUAACCCAGGACCUACUUGGAAAGGCAUGCUGGGUCUCUUCCACAGACUUUAAGCUCUCCCUACACCAGAAUUUAGGUGAGUGCUUUGAGGACAUGAAGCUAUUCCUCCCACCACCAGUAGCCUUGGGCUGGCCCACGCUUGCCAACUGUGGAGCUGGAGCGGGAGGGAAGAGUACAGACAUGGAAUUUUAAUUCUGUAAUCCAGGGCUUCAGUUAUGUACAACAUCCAUGCUGUUUGAUGAUUCCACAACUCCUUUUCCAUCUCUCCCAGAAGCCUGCUUUUUAAUGCCCACUCAAUAUUAUCAGAGCCCAGCCUGGAAUCAAACUUCCUCUUUCAAAACCUGCCACUAUAUCCUGGCUUUGUGACCUCAGCCAAGUUGCUUGACCAUUCUCAGUCUCAGUUUCUGCAACUGUCAAAUAGGGUUUAUGUUAACCUAACUUUCAGGGCUGUCAGGAUUAAAUGAGCAUGAACCACAUAAAAUGUUUCGUGUCUAGUAAGUGUACAGUAAAUAUUUCCAUUAUCAGUCCCUCCAAUUCUAUUUUUCUUCCUUCUCUACACAGCCCCUGUCUGGCUUUAAAAUGUCCUGCCCUGCUUUUUAUGAGUGGAUAACCCCAGCCCUAUGUGGAUUAGCAAGUUAAGUAAUGACACUCAGAGACAGUUCCAUCUUUGUCCGUAACUUGCUCUGUGAUCCAGUGUGCAUCACUCAAACAGACUAUCUCUUUUCUCCUACAAAACAGACAGCUGCCUCUCAGAGAAUGUUGGGGGCAUAGGAGGAAUGGAAAGCCCGCUAAGAGAACAGAACUCAAAAACAUUUGGGUUCUAGAUGGGAGGAGGUGUGCGUGCGCAUGUAUGUUUGUGUUUCAGGUCUUGGAAUCUCAGCAGGUCAGUCACAUUGCAGUGUGUCGCUUCACCUGGCUCCCUCGUUUAAAGAUUUUUCUUCCCUCUUUCCAACUCCCUGGGUCCUGGAUCCUCCAACAGUGUCAGGGUUAGAUGCCUUUUAUGGACCACUUGCAUUAGUGUCCUGAUAGAGGCUUAAUCACCGCUCAGAAACUGCCUUCUGCCCACUGGCAAAGGGAGGCAGGGGAAAUACAUGAUUCUAAUUAAUAGUCCAGGCAGAGAGGACACUCAGAAUUUCAGGACUGAAGAGUAUGUGUGUGUGUGAUGGUAAAUGGGCAAAAAUCAUCCCUUGGCUUCCCAUGCAUAAUGCAUGGGCACACAGACUCAAACCCUCUCUCAUACACAUACACAUAUACACUGUUAUUCCACACAAAAGGCAUAAUCCCAGUGUCCAGCACACAUGCAUACACGCACACAUUCCCUUCCUAGGCCACUGUAUUGGUUUCCUAGGGCAUCUUCUUAUAAGACACCAGUUGUAUAAGGAGCCCACCCCACUCAUCUGAGCUUAUCAACCAAUUACAUUAGGAAAGACCGUAUUUCCUAAUAAGGUCACAUUCAGAAGUACUGAGGGUUGGGACUUCAACACAGCUUUUUGGGGGAUCAUAAUUCAACCCAUGACAGCCACUGACAUUAUUAUAUCUCCAGAGAAUAAAUGUGUGGAGUUAAAAGGAAGAUAACAUGUGGUACAAGGGGUGGGAAGGCAAGGGUAAAAGGGGAGGGAGGGGAUUGAACUAGACACACACAGACACAUGAGCAGGACUUUGGGGAGUGUGUUUUAUAUCUGUCAGAUGCCUAGAACAGCACCUGAAACAUGGGACUCAAUCAUUUUAGUCCCCUUCUUUCUAUAAGUGUGUGUGUGCGCACAUGUGUGCUAGAUGUUCUUGCUGUGUUAGGAGGUGAUAAACAUUUGUCCAUGUUAUAUAGGUGGAAAGGGUCAGACUACUAAAUUGUGAAGACAUAAUCUGUCUGCAUUUAUUGAGAAUGUGAAUAUGAAACAAGCUGCAAGUAUUCUAUAAAUGUUCACUGUUAUUAGAUAUUGUAUGUCUUUGUGUCCUUUUAUUCAUGAAUUCUUGCACAUUAUGAAGAAAGAGUCCAUGUGGUCGGUGUCUUACCUGGUGUAGGGUAAAUGCACCUGAUAGCAAUAACUUAAGCAAACCUUUAUAAUGACCCUUUAUGGCAGAUGCACCUGAAUGUGUGUUUCGAGCUAGAAAAUCCGGGAAUGGCCAAUCAGAGAUACAAUUCUUAUCUAUAAUAGACAUCUGAGCCCCUGGCCCAUCCCAUGAAACCCAGGCUGUAGAGAGGAUUGAGGCCUUAAGUUUUGGGUUAAAUGACAGUUGCCAGGUGUCGGUCAUUAGGGAAAGGGGUUAAGUGAAAAUGCUGUAUAAACUGCAUGAUGUUUGCAGGCAGUCGUGGUUUUCCUGCCCAGCCUGCCACCACUGGGCCACGCGGAUAUGUUUUCCAGCCCAACACCACAGGACCAUUUCUGUAUGUAAGGCAAUUCUAUCCAGCCCGCCACCUCUGGACUCCCUCCCCUGUAUGUAAGCCCUCAAUAAAACCCCACAUCUCUUUUGCUGGC